This 481-nucleotide ribosomal RNA is filed under the name uncultured bacterium. RNAcentral describes it as "bacterial SSU rRNA". It matches the Rfam family "Bacterial small subunit ribosomal RNA", at positions 502 to 985 of the family's 1533-position model. The record is from RNAcentral.
UACGUGCCAGCAGCCGCGGUAAUACGGAGGAUGCGAGCGUUAUCCGGAUUUAUUGGGUUUAAAGGGUGCGUAGGUGGCCUGUUAAGUCAGCGGUGAAAUCUAGGAGCUUAACUCCUAAAUUGCCAUUGAUACUGGCGGGCUUGAGUGUAGAUGAGGUAGGCGGAAUGCGUGGUGUAGCGGUGGAAUGCAUAGAUAUCACGCAGAACUCCGAUUGCGAAGGCAGCUUACUAAGGUACAACUGACGCUGAAGCACGAAAGCGUGGGUAUCAAACAGGAUUAGAUACCCUGGUAGUCCACGCAGUAAACGAUGAUAACUGGGCGUAUGCGAUAUACAGUAUGCUCCUAAGCGAAAGCGUUAAGUUAUCCACCUGGGGAGUACGCCGGCAACGGUGAAACUCAAAGGAAUUGACGGGGGCCCGCACAAGCGGAGGAACAUGUGGUUUAAUUCGAUGAUACGCGAGGAACCUUACCCGGGAUUGAA